Molecule: long non-coding RNA, 395 nt
Organism: Harpia harpyja (harpy eagle)
Lineage: Eukaryota; Metazoa; Chordata; Aves; Accipitriformes; Accipitridae
Exons: 2
Source: RefSeq, a predicted model, not a curated record
GAACAGUCUGACACUAAUAUAAUGGACAUGUGUGAAGAAACUAAAAGUGGGUUGAUAUGAGUGAUGCAGUAUGAUCAAAGAUGGAAAGAGUAACCAGUUACUUAAAAAUUCUUGGGAAUCCCAAGAAUGUCUUUGGAUGCGUCCACAGGUCCAUAAUGCAUGAAUGUGCCAUUUCAACCAUCCCUAUGCUGCAGCAAAGGUCUCAAGUACGUUGCAGGUCAGUGGCCUUUUCCACAUGUACAGUCUCUUCAUACAUGGUAAAUUAAGAGUGCUCAGAAUCCCUUGGACUUAACAAAUCUGAAAAGAAAGGUGGAACAUAUUCCUUCAGCUCAGGAAAAAAUCCGAAACAACCCAAAACUAAAAAAAUAAAACAAAACAAAAAAAACCAACAAAAA